RNAcentral lists this ribosomal RNA (238 nucleotides) under uncultured bacterium. RNAcentral's name for it is "partial 16S ribosomal RNA". It matches the Rfam family "Bacterial small subunit ribosomal RNA", at positions 524 to 761 of the family's 1533-position model. The record is from RNAcentral.
UACGGAGGGAGCUAGCGUUGUUCGGAAUUACUGGGCGUAAAGCGCGCGUAGGCGGCUUUGUAAGUUAGAGGUGAAAGCCCGGGGCUCAACCCCGGAACUGCCUUUAAGACUGCAUCGCUUGAAUCCGGGAGAGGUGAGUGGAAUUCCGAGUGUAGAGGUGAAAUUCGUAGAUAUUCGGAAGAACACCAGUGGCGAAGGCGGCUCACUGGGCCGGCAUUGACGCUGAGGUGCGAAAGCG